This 3142-nucleotide long non-coding RNA is filed under the name Helianthus annuus (common sunflower). RNAcentral's name for it is "hypothetical non coding rna". The record is from RNAcentral. Lineage: Eukaryota; Viridiplantae; Streptophyta; Magnoliopsida; Asterales; Asteraceae.
UGGAAGAAGGACCGGCGCCGGUAGGGGACGGUCCAAAGCCGAUCCCCAUACCGAGCAGCCUAACCAUUGCCAACACUUUUCAGCAUAGUUUAAACUCUUAAGGUUGAGUGACAUGACACACUCUCAUUGGUUGAUUUUAAAGUUUACCACUCUUUAUACCCUAAGGAGUUUAAUACAAUUCUAAAUAUAUAAUAUAUUUUUUUAGUAUCCUUUUGUUUUUAAUUUUAACAUAAAGCUUAUAAAGCUCAUUAAAAAUAAAGUUGUAUUCAGAUUGAAGUAUUACUGUAAAGUUGCAUUAUAGAACGUGUACAUGACUUCUUGGGACUUUGAUCCCCCUUAGUUUUGUUGUCCAUAGAACUUAAAAGUUGUCUUCGAAGCAUGACACACAUUAUAUGAUUAUCGUGAAAACGCAAACAAGAAGCUGCAUUUUACAAGAAUGAAGAAUCUUAAACAAAAGAUACCAUAAUAGCACGAGAAGGAAAAGAAAAAUCAAAAAGCAACAAGCUAAAGCUUUCAGUAAUCAGGCCAGGCUGAUGGUUUGAGUUUGAGAGUUUCUACAUCCAUAGCACUCAUUUAUGCAUAAGAAAUAUUAUAUUUCUUGAAACAUGAACAAUUCUGCGUAAUCAUAGAUUAUUGACAAUCUUUAGGUUGCACAAAUGGAAUAAUAAUUACCAACAACCGCCUUAUGGGGCUGCUACUUCGACUUGAGAGCCUUACGAGCUUCUUCUCGUGUGACAGCCCGGACAUAGAUCUCAUAGCAACAUCCUGGAACAAAUUUCAAAGUACUCAGCAUAAUUAGAUUCAUGACGAAAGAAUAUAUGGUUAAAUAAUAAGCAAACUGAUUUAGCCACAUGCAGCUACAUAAUGCUUAUUCUGAUUAUCUCCAACAGGUCAAACAGAUAAAAUUAGCUUAAAAGUAAACUGGCGGAAAGACACCCAAAGUGGUACUUACAAAAGAAAUAUUAUAUAGGUUUUACAGUGUGUUUCAGUUUAACCCAAUAUGUAUCUACAAGAUGAAAACAUUUUUGUCAAUUUAGGAUUGACAUACCAGCUACCACGGCGAUAGUGAGGUAAUCACCAACUCUUCUGAUGCUUGAGGCACUUUUCCUAUAUGAUUUGAAGCGCUCUAGUGCUGGAUCCUUGGCCAAAAGCUACAACGUAAUAAGGUUAUAUUAAUGAGAAUAUAAACAAACCUAAGGGGGGAUUCGAUUUCAUCUAUCUGUACAAGGUUACUAAAGAUUUUUAAGAAAUAGUUAAGAUCUGAAAUAAUAAACAAAUGUGAAUUGCAACACAUAGUUUCACAAGUUUUUUGAAGCGUAGACUGCAUAUGAGUUUCGAAGAAGUUACAGUUAAAUAGGUGAAAAAUAUAAAGCUUCUUAACCACCCCGUGCAGAUCAAAGAUUAAUUGGGGUGGUUUACACCUUGGUUUAAAAAAGCGUGAGGCGCUCCGAAGCGUUUUGGUUCCAAAAGCUUUAAGCGAAGCUUCAAGCGCGAAGCGAGAGCUUCACGUAUACAAAUCGUUCAAAAUAAAAAAAAAUAAAAAAAUAUUUGUACACGUCAAUAUGACAUAUUCUACUUGUUAAUCAAUAAUAAACACAAAAACAAGAUUAAAAAACACAUAACACGUAAAAAACAUAAUUAAAACAUAAAUUAAAGUCGAUUAUUGGAGAAAGUAUGAAGAAUCGAUGGAUAAGAGGGAGGGAGCGGCUGAAGAUGUUUACUAACGUUUUUUUAGGGUAGCGGGCCUCAGUUAAACCCUAUUAGAGACUAUUGGGCCUAAUUUAAAAACCUAAAUCUGACCUGAUUGGGCUGAAGCGUCGCUUCAAACCAAUGGCGCUUCGGGCUUAAAGCGCGCUUCAAAACGCUUCAAAACGCUUCACGUGAUUUGUUGCCUCAGAGCAAAAAAAGCGACAACCCUGGCGCUUCAUCGCCUCACAGGCAAGCUCGCUUUUUUAAACCAAGGUUUACACAAUGGUAUGGGAUAUGGAACAAUAAAAGAAUAGGUUUUACUCCUUGAAAACGGUGUUCGGUAGCUAUAAUGGCCAAACGGAAAACAUCAGUUGAAUACUUGAAUCAAACAAUUGAAUCUUGAUUGCCUUUGUUGAAAAUACACAUACUAAACCUUGCUACAUAACCUUGAAAGUUUCCUCUAUAGACGCUAAUCGUUGCCUACUCUGAUUUACAACACGUGUGAUUGCCAAGAGAAAUGGUAAGGAGUCCUUAUAAUCAUAGUCACCAAUAUGGAUUGUAGCUACUAGCAAAAUCAAACAAGAAAUUAAAGUAAUUCUAUACAGGGAAUAGUGAUUUUACUCGUAACAUACAGUUUGCCAUGACAUAAGGCAGUCCAGGCAUGGAAUGAAUGACUCAUUAAACCCUCUAAACUUCUAUUACUUCAAGUGCUGAACCAACUACAACUUGAUACAUAAACUAGCUCAGCAAGUUCUAUCUAUUAUAUAUACUUUGGCCAUCAAAGCCUGUAUUUUUGUAGGUAGCUAGCUUUCUACCAUAUAUUUUGCUAAAACUUUGGUUAAUUAUUACACUUGAGUGGAUGGUGCACCUUGUGUGAUAACUGUGUUAUUAGAAUUAUGCAACAUUCUCACAUAUUAUGCCCAAAAAAUAAUUGAUUGGUCAAGAGCUUUCUAGUGUUGAAAGUAAGCAAAUGAAUGUAAAUAUACCAAAAGUUAUGAACUAAAUUAGGGCUCCUAAUUCUAUUGCAUAACAAAUUAAACUUCAGAAAAAAAAAAAAAAAAAAAAAAAAAAAAAAAAAAAAACCCACACCAUCACCAUCCUGAUCUUAAGCUAGCCACACACACAUGCAUUCAACGCAUCGACCGAUCCAUACGAAUCAUGACCAGAUGAAAUCAUAUAAUGACUUACAGCUUUCUCUCGAACUCCAGGCUCUACAUGAAUCUGCCGUCUAGAUUGCAAAAUUAAACCCUCCGCCGCCUAAAUCGAAAUCAAAUGUUCAAUUGAAAAGUAAAACACACGUAAUCGGUAACAAAAGCAUAAAACAAACACAGAUUGAUACCUGGUGAUGAGCACCAAGGCUAGAAAAGGAAGUACGUUUGAGCAAAGAAGCCAUUGAAAAGUGAUCAGACGCUGGAUCUUGGACUCGUAAAUUAUGUUGUUUUGUAUUUUCUAG